Molecule: ribosomal RNA, 253 nt
Filed under: uncultured bacterium
Lineage: Bacteria
Description: partial 16S ribosomal RNA
Rfam family: Bacterial small subunit ribosomal RNA
Source: RNAcentral
UACGGGGGGGGUAAGCGUUGUUCGGAAUUACUGGGCGUAAAGGGCGCGUAGGCGGUCCUGUAAGUCCUGUGUGAAAUCCCCCGGCUCAACUGGGGAAUUGCACGGGAAACUGCGGGGCUUGAGUUCGGGAGAGGGAAGCGGAAUUCCAGGUGUAGCGGUGAAAUGCGUAGAUAUCUGGAGGAACACCGGUGGCGAAGGCGGCAUCCUGGACCAACACUGACGCUGAGGAGCGAAAGCCAGGGGAGCAAACGGG